Long non-coding RNA from Diorhabda carinulata, 8260 nucleotides. RefSeq lists it as uncharacterized. The record is from RefSeq and is a predicted model, not a curated record. The transcript has 4 exons. Lineage: Eukaryota; Metazoa; Arthropoda; Insecta; Coleoptera; Chrysomelidae.
UUUUGAAACAAAAAAGGAAUUUUUUGUAUAAUUGGAAUUCGAAAGCGAACAUAAUUUUAUUUUAAAAUAUCGUUAUAGUGAGAAUGAUUUUGUAUAAUUUUGUAAGGAUUUCGAUUUGAGAAUCGCAAAUUUAGUGAAAAAGUAAUUUUCCGUGAGAAAUUUUCUUGUUAUAUUUUGUUUAACUUGAAAACCACGAAGGCGAAUUCGACAAAUUUGAUUAGGUGCUGGUGCGCGAUUCUACGCGAAAUUUUAACCCGUUAACGAAACGAAAAGUAAAUGUAGUGCACGUUCCAUAAUGCGGUUUGCCAAAAAGUAGGUGAUUGUUGGAUAAAUAACAAAAAACAAAUGAUUUUCCAUUCUUCAUAACAACUAUUUCAAGCUACAUAUUUUACGUUUCUACUUGGUACUGCUAGAUCAUUCAAUUCAUUUGAACGUAAGUUGAAAUUUUCCAAUAUUGUAAAUCGAAUAAAUUUUUCUCCAUCCAUUAUUCCAAAAUUUAUGCUGAGAAAUUGAUAUUUUUCCCAAAAAUUGAAUGUAACACAAUUUCAAUAUGAUAUACGAGGUAUAUCCACAAAGAAAGUUCCAUUUGUUUAUAAAAGAACAUACGUGGAGGUCAAAAAACAUAUUUUUCAUGCUGUUAACCUAAUUUUCUAUGUAGUUUCGAAAAUUUUUUAAACACUUGUUUUUGUAUGCCUUCUCCCUGUUCUCCGGCUCGUUUCAACUUUGAACGAGAUGAAAGUAAGAAAAAAAACAAAAACCAUUUGACAGUAAUCCUCGGAGUUUGCUCUGUUUCUUAAUUUCCAUCCAACAUCCAAUUAUACUUACAAAACAAUGUUUUCGAAAUCUUUAGGGAUCUUUUGAAAAGUGAAGUUAAAUUUAAAUAUUUCAUUUGAGCAUAAAAUUCAUAAUUCACUCGUGUUUAAAGCAAGUUUAUUCUCUAAAUUAUUACUCAGAUUACUCAGAAUAUGUCGCAAAUUUCGACUACUCCCUUAGAUUCAAACAGAAGAUUGUUAAUAUUUAUGACCAAAGCUAAUUUUUCUCAUUAUAUGAUACUGAUCAAAUAAAAUCUUGAUUUUGUUAUUUUAGAUUGAUUAACUUUUUUCAGCGUUUACUGUAACAUAUUUAAGUCCAGUAAAUAUUUGAUGAAUAAUUAUGAUGAUAAUCAUAUGAUAUAAUUGCUGCAAUACACCUCAAAUUCACUUUGAUUUGAAAUAGUAGUACAUGGAUCCUUCUGAUCAAUAUAAAUGACAAUUAGAUAAUUAAGUAACUAGAAAAUGUGAUUUCCAUUCAAAUGACUUUCCGAGUAAUCUGUUGAGAUUUUCCUGAUCUUUGAGAACAAAUCUGUUUGGUUAAUGAGAUGGUUGUGUGAUGAAUGUCUUUGGAAUUUGAACAAAAAUGAGGCAGGCAACCGCCGCGAUAUGGAAAAGUGAUCGUAAUUUUCGGUAUCGGUUUCGGUGUGCCGCGGAUUCGAUUUUAAGUGAUGGACAUCAUGGAAAUGGAAAAUGGAUAUGGAGGCUUUCCUAUGUGGACAAAGUUAUGUGUUGGUGCGCGAUUCUACUCGAAAUUUUAACCCGUUAACGAAACGAAAGGUAAAUGUAGUGCACGUUCCAUAAUGCGGUUUGCCAAAAAGUAGGUGAUUGUUGGAUAAAUAACAAAAAACAAAUGAUUUUCCAUUAUUCAUAACAAAUAUUUCAAACUACAUAUUUUACGUUUCUACUUGGUACUGCUAGAUAAUUCAAUUCAUUUGAACGUACGUUGAAAUUUUCCAAUAUUGUAAAUCAAAUAAAUUUUUCUCCAUCCAUUAUUCCAAAAUUUAUGCUGAGAAAUUGAUAUUUUUCCCAAAAAUUGAAUGUAACACAAUUUCAAUAUGAUAUACGAGGUAUAUCCACAAAGAAAGUUCCAUUUGGUUAUUAAAGAACAUACGUGCAGGUCAAAAAACAUAUUUUUCAUGCUGUUAACCUAAUUUUCUAUGUAGUUUCGAAAAUUUUUUAAACGAGCAAGGUCCGACCUAUAAGGAGGAUGAUCAAACACACCCCAGCCAAAUUCUUGGAGCGGUUUUUAUGUCACGUCACAGUGUGAGAUGGGGCAUUAUCGUGAAAAAAAAACAAAAACCAUUUGACAGUAAUCCUCGGAGUUUGCUCUGUUUCUUAAUUUCCACGCAUGUGCCUAAAUCAAACGGCAAAACGUCGGAGCAAACGGUGGAAAUGAGUUGUCGAGGUGUCGAAAUUUGCAUCCCCCUAUGACUAUUCGAAAUAUAGGUUUUCAUUGCCACUUAGAAAAGGAACUUACAUUGUGGAUGUACCUCGUAUGAACGAAAUACUAAAAUCAGUUAUUAAAACUUUUUAUUCAAAUUUUUCUAAAAUUUUCGGUCCGAAUUAUUGCAUCAAAUUUUGAUUGAAAUAAUUUUUUUUUGUUAUUGUUGAGAUUAAUACAGUUACAGAUUUUAAUUAUUGAAGAAAAAUAGUUUGAAUUUAUUUUUGAAUAACUUUUUUAACAUUCAGAAAGUUUUAACAAACAUCCAGUUAAACUUACAAAACAUUGUUUUCGAAAUCUUUAGGGAUCUUUUGAAAUAUAAAGUUAAAUUUAAAUAUUUCAUUUGAGCUUAAAAUUCAUAAUUCACUCGUGUUUAAAGCAAGUUUAUUCUCUAAAUUAUUACUCAGAAUAUGUCGCAAAUUUCGACUACUCCCUUACAUUCAAACAGAAGAUUGUUAAUAUUUAUGACCAAAGCUAAUUUUUCUCAUUAUAUGAUAUUGAUCAAAUAAAAUCUUGACGUUGUUAUUUUAGAUUGAUUAAUUCUUUUCAGCGUUUACUGUAACAUAUUUAAGUCCAGUAAUUUAUUUGAUGAAUAAUUAUGAUGAUAAUCAUAUGAUAUAAUUGCUGCAAUACACCUCAAAUUCACUUUGAUUCGAAUUAGUAGUACAUGGAUCCUUUUGAUCAAUAUAAAUGAUAAUUAGAUAAUUAAGUAACUUGAAAAAGGGGAUUUCCAUUCGAACGACUUUCUGAGUAAUCUGUUGAGAUUUUCCUGAUCUUUGAGAACAAAUCUGUUGGGUUAAUGAGAUGAUUGUGUGAUGAAUGUCUUUGGAAAUUGAUCAAAAAUGAGGCAGGCAACCGCCGCGAUAUGGGAAAGUGAUUCGUAAUUUUCGGUAUCGGUUUCGGUGUGCCGCGAAUCGGUUUUAAGUGAUGGAAAUCAUGGAAAUGGAAAAUGGAUAUGGAGGCUUUCCUAUGUGGACAAAGUUAUGUGUUUGUGCGCGAUUCGACGCGAAAUUUUAACCCGUUAACGAAACGAAAAAUAUAUAGUGUGCGAAUCGAUAAAGCGGUAUGCCAAAAGGUAGGUGAUUGUUGGAUAAAUAACAAAAAAACAUAUUUCUUCAAUUUUUAUAACAAAUAUGUAUUUCAAACUACAAAUAUAUGUGUUUCUAAAAUGGAAAUGCUGCUGCAUCAUGAAUAUAAAUAUAGAUGUAAAAUUCUAUUUUCUAUUAUCGUUUUUCUGUGUCACGUUUCUUUCCAAAACUUAACCUGUCUGAAAAAAAAAUUAAAUUUUUUAUGUAAUAAAUUUUUUACAAAUUAAAUGUAAAACAAUUUUCCUAUUGUAAAGAAAAUACUAAAAUUUUUCAUACACGUCUAAAUAACAUUUUUAUAACAGUUUCAAGAUUAAUUUCAGACGAAAUGUUUUUUUUUGUUUUUUAUUGGGUGUGCUAUGAAAAUUAUUUCCAUGAUAAUUUGUUGAUGGUUACAUACAUGAGACAUACAGGAUUCCAGGAACAUUUUGAACGUACGGAGAUAUCGUUUCAAAUUCGUUUACAUAAUUACCUAUCUAUUAUUAAACAGAGCCACUUUAUUUUUGACUUAAUUCGAAAAAUUUGAUUAAAAUUUAGAUUAAAUAUCAAGAAAUUAUAAUACAAUACAUUUUUUUCCAAAAUGUCUGUAGAAACCAUUUAAAAUACAGAGAUUAUUAUCCAAAUAACUUUGAUAAAAUUGAUUAGAUUCUGUUGAAAUUUUAUGUAAAAAUUGAUGGAAUAAAUUAAAAUUUGAAAGUUAAAUGUCCACUCGUUUGGAAACGAGUAAAGAAGAUGAUUGUUUGAAAUAACAAUUAUGGAAUUUUGAAAGUUAUUAAUUUCGAUAAAUUUGUUAAAAGAUUCGAAAAAAAAAAUUGAGAGCGGCUCAAUAUAUCAAAAAUCCAUCUGAAUAUGAAUUGAAACGAAUUAUUUAUUUUUUUAUAGGUAUCUAGGUACAAUGAGGAGUUUGCAGUUCUUUGAUGUGUUAUAUUUCCAAAUUUUUGAAUUUAUUCUUUCUUGUUUUGAUGUUUUGUGUGAUAUGUGAUAUAGUGUGAUCGCAUGGUUAUCCCCGGGUACAAUAAGGACUUGUAGUUUUUAGAAAAUCUCCUUAAACUAAUUAAUUAACGAACUUUUUGUUAAUUUUUUCAAUACUCUUGGUUAUAUAACUAAUUAAGUUUAACUUGUAGAUGUGAUUUCCAUUCAAAUGACUUUCUAAGUAAUCUGUUGAGAUUUUCUUCAACUAUGAGGACGAGGCUGUUGGGUUAAGCUAAUUUUUUUCGGAAAAUUAGUUCCCUAGAAACGACAAGUACAGGCUUGAGGUUGCUCUAACGUAGUGGACUAACAAGUCUGUGCUAUGGGGAUGAUUGUGUGAUGUAUGUCUUUGGAAUUUGAUCAUAAAUGAGGCAGGCAACCGCCGCGAUAUGGAAAAGUGAUUCGAAAUUUUCGGUAUCGGUGUGCCGCGAAUCGAUUUUAAAAGUGUUGGACAAUAUGGAAAUUGGUAUAUGGAAAUGGAUAUGGAAAAUGGAUAUGGAAAGUCUACUUCGUGGAAGACCAUAUGUGAGUACAAAUUUUUAUAUACAUUAAAUUAGGUUGGGUGAUUUCGUUUUCUAAUGAUAGUAAAGUUAUAACGCAAUGAUAAACUUUUGUCUGAUGCUUACAAAGAUAUGAAAAUCAAGUUACUUUUGAGUUCUUUAUUUGAUAGAAAAGUUUCACAACCAAAAAAAUCGUAUGGAAAAAAUUUAUAGAUAUCUGGAGAAUAAUAUUCAUAUGAAUUUGUCUUUUUAUGUUUGGUAUUUUCAGUUGAGUAAAUUGAAAGUAUGUGUGUGAUAUUAUUGUAUCUUGUAUGCGUGUGUAAAAAAUUCCGUUUUGCAAUCUUCAUAUCGAUGGCUACUUCAUUUGUUAUAAAUUUUCGUUUUUCUAUCCUAAACUGAACCUGAAAUUUGAAAAUAUAAAAUAAUAAAAACUUCGGAUCUGUGAAUUACUUUGAUAAUAAUUGAAUGAUAAAAUUAUUAUACACUAUUUUGUUCUUAUACAGAACUUAAUAAAAUUGAAUUUUUCGAAAUGAAAAUUACAUUUUUCUAAUAAUAAUUCGGAAAAAAAACAUAUUUUCUGGACAUUUUAUUUUAUAAUCGACUGUGAACAAUUUAUUCAAACGUUAAUUGUUUCUAAUUUAUAUCAACCCUUAAAAAAAGAAAACUGAACCUGUUUCUUUUUUAAUUUUGAACGUUUUCUGCUCAAGUUAGUUGAAUGUAUACGUGUAAUAAUAUAUUUUGCAAAAUAAAAGAUUUUCUCAAGAAUUUAUCGAAUAUCGAUAGCUACUUCAUUUGUUAUAAAUUUUCAUCAUUCCUACCCAUUUUCGACUUGAAAUUUGAAAAGAUAAAAUAUAACUAUCUAAGGUAAACUUCGAAUCUUACUUAUAGACAUUUGAAUAAUAAAAUCAUCAUAUAUCGUUUUUUCUAAUGGAGAACUUUACAUAAUUAAAUUUUUCGAAACUGAAAUUCCAUUUUACCAAUAAUCAUUUGAGAAAAAAAACAUCUUCUGGACUAUUUUAUUAUAGAAUUGACUUGGGAAAUUUUUUCAAACGUAAAUUAUUUCUAAUAUAUAUCAAUCAUUAAAAAAAAAACACUGAAUCUGUUUAUUUUUAAUAUUUUCUGAUUAAGUUAAUAGAAGAAAGUAUGUAUGUAAUAAUGAUAAAUACCUUUUACGGAAUGGAAAUUUUCCAAAGUCCAUCAAAUAGGAAGCAAACUUGUGUGAAAAAUCAAGUUUUCCAAUCUUCAUAUCGACAACUAUUUCAUUUGUUAUAAAUUUUCGUCAUUCUUUCCCAAACUGGACCUGAAAUUUAAAAAUAUAAAAUGUUGUAAACUACGGAUAUGUGGAUUACUUUGAAAAUUGAUUGAUAAAAUUAUUAUACACUAUUUUGUUCUUAUGCAGAAAUUGAUAAAAUUGAAUUUUUCGAAAGUAAAAUCCCAUAUUUUUAAUAAUCAUUUGAAAAAAAAAAUCAUUUUCUGGACUAUUUUAUCAUAUAAGCGACUUGGAAGAAUUUUUCAAAGUUAUUAUACAUCGUUUUUUUCUAAAACAAAUUUUUAUAAAAUUGAAUUUUUCGAAACUAAAAUUCCAUAAUUUUAAUAAUCAUUUGAAAAAAAAAAUCAUUUUCUGGACUAUUUUAUCAUAUAAGCGACUUGGAAGAAUUUUUCAAAGUUAUUAUACAUCGUUUUUUUCUAAAACAAAUUUUUAUAACAUUGAAUUUUUCGAAACUAAAAUUCCAUAAUUUUAAUAAUCAUUUGAAAAAAAAAUCAUUUUCUGGACUAUUUUAUCAUAUAAGCGACUUGGAAGAAUUUUUCAAAGUUAUUAUACAUCGUUUUUUUCUAAAACAAAUUUUUAUAACAUUGAAUUUUUCGAAACUAAAAUUCCAUGUUUUUAAUAAUCAUUUGAGAAAAAAAAUCAUUUUCUGGACUAUUUUAUCAUAUAAGCGACUUGGAAGAAUUUUUCAAAGUUAUUAUACAUCGUUUUUUUCUAAAACAAAUUUUUAUAAAAUUGAAUUUUUCGAAACUAAAAUUCCAUGUUUUUAAUAAUCAUUUGAAAAAAAAAUCAUUUUCUGGACUAUUUUAUCAUAUAAGCGACUUGGAAGAAUUUUUCAAAGUUAUUAUACAUCGUUUUUUUCUAAAACAAAUUUUUAUAAAAUUGAAUUUUUCGAAACUAAAAUUCCAUGUUUUUAAUAAUCAUUUGAAAAAAAAAAUCAUUUUCUGGACUAUUUUAUCAUAUAAGCGACUUGGAAGAAUUUUUCAAAGUUAUUAUACAUCGUUUUUUUCUAAAACAAAUUUUUAUAAAAUUGAAUUUUUCGAAACUAAAAUUCCAUGUUUUUAAUAAUCAUUUGAAAAAAAAAAUCAUUUUCUGGACUAUUUUAUCAUAUAAGCGACUUGGAAGAAUUUUUCAAAGUUAUUAUACAUCGUUUUUUUCUAAAACAAAUUUUUAUAAAAUUGAAUUUUUCGAAACUAAAAUUCCAUGUUUUUAAUAAUCAUUUGAAAAAAAAAAUCAUUUUCUGGACUAUUUUAUCAUAUAAGCGACUUGGAAGAAUUUUUCAAAGUUAUUAUACAUCGUUUUUAAUAAUCAUUUGAAAAAAAAAAUCAUUUUCUGGACUAUUUUAUCAUAUAAGCGACUUGGAAAAAUUUUUCAAAGUUGUUAUACAUCGUUUUUUUCUAAAACAAAUUUUUAUAACAUUGAAUUUUUCGAAACUAAAAUUCCAUGUUUUUAAUAAUCAUUUGAGAAAAAAAAUCAUUUUCUGGACUAUUUUAUCAUAUAAGCGACUUGGAAGAAUUUUUCAAAGUUAUUAUACAUCGUUUUUUUCUAAAACAAAUUUUUAUAAAAUUGAAUUUUUCGAAACUAAAAUUCCAUGUUUUUAAUAAUCAUUUGAAAAAAAAAAAUCAUUUUCUGGACUAUUUUAUCAUAUAAGCGACUUAAAAGAAUUUUUCAAAGUUAUUAUACAUCGUUUUUUUCUAAAACAAAUUUUUAUAACAUUGAAUUUUUCGAAACUAAAAUUCCAUGUUUUUAAUAAUCAUUUGAGAAAAAAAUCAUUUUCUGGACUAUUUUAUCAUAUAAGCGACUUGGAAAAAAAUUUCAAAGCUGUUAUACAUCGUUUUUUUCUAAAACAAAUUUUUAUAAAAUUGAAUUUUUCGAAACUAAAAUUCCAUGUUUUUAAUAAUCAUUUGAGAAAAAACAAAUCAUUUUCUGGACUAUUUUAUCAUAUAAGCGACUUGGAAAAAUUUUUCAAAGUUGUUAUACAUCGUUUUUUUCUAAAACAAAUUUUUAUAACAUUGAAUUUUUCGAAACUAAAAUUCCAUGUUUUUAAUAAUCAUUUGAGAAAAAACAAAUCAUUUUCUGGACUAUUUUGUCAAAUAAGCGACUUGGAGAAAUUUUUCAAAGUUGUUAUACAUCGUUUUUUUUAUAACAUUGAAUUUUUCGAAACUAAAAUUCUUUAUUUUUAAUAA